AGCCGCGGUAAUACGAAGGGUGCAAGCGUUACUCGGAAUUACUGGGCGUAAAGCGCACGUAGGCGGCUUUGCAAGUUAGAGGUGAAAGCCCUGGGCUCAACCUGGGAAUGGCAUUGGAAACUGGCUGACUGGAGUGCGGUAGAGGGUAGUGGAAUUCCCGGUGUAGCAGUGAAAUGCGUAGAUAUCGGGAGGAACAUCCGUGGCGAAGGCGACUACCUGGACCAGCACUGACACUGAGGCACGAAAGCGUGGGGAGCAAACA
This 262-nucleotide ribosomal RNA is filed under the name uncultured bacterium. RNAcentral's name for it is "partial 16S ribosomal RNA". It matches the Rfam family "Bacterial small subunit ribosomal RNA", at positions 513 to 774 of the family's 1533-position model. The record is from RNAcentral.